RNAcentral lists this ribosomal RNA (428 nucleotides) under uncultured Acidobacterium sp. RNAcentral describes it as "bacterial SSU rRNA". It matches the Rfam family "Bacterial small subunit ribosomal RNA", at positions 958 to 1385 of the family's 1533-position model. The record is from RNAcentral. Lineage: Bacteria; Pseudomonadati; Acidobacteriota; Terriglobia; Terriglobales; Acidobacteriaceae.
AACGCGAAGAACCUUACCUGGGCUCGAAGUGCUACGGACCAGCCUAUGAAAGUAGGCCUUCCCUUAAAAGACCGUAGUAUAGGUGCUGCAUGGCUGUCGUCAGCUCGUGUCGUGAGAUGUUGGGUUAAGUCCCGCAACGAGCGCAACCCUUGUCCUGUGUUGCCAUACCGAAAGGUGGAACUCGCAGGAGACCGCCAGGGAUAACCUGGAGGAAGGUGGGGAUGACGUCAAGUCCUCAUGGCCUUUAUGUCCAGGGCUACACACGUGCUACAAUGGACGGUACAAAGGGCUGCCAACCCGCGAGGGGGAGCCAAUCCCAAAAAACCGUUCUCAGUUCGGAUUGCAGGCUGCAACUCGCCUGCAUGAAGCUGGAAUCGCUAGUAAUGGCGGAUCAGAACGCCGCCGUGAAUACGUUCCCGGGCCUUGUA